AGCUUGUUGGUGAGGUAAUGGCUCACCAAGGCGACGACGGGUAGCCGGCCUGAGAGGGCGACCGGCCACACUGGGACUGAGACACGGCCCAGACUCCUACGGGAGGCAGCAGUGGGGAAUAUUGCACAAUGGGCGAAAGCCUGAUGCAGCGACGCCGCGUGAGGGAUGACGGCCUUCGGGUUGUAAACCUCUUUCAGCAGGGAAGAAGCGAAAGUGACGGUACCUGCAGAAGAAGCGCCGGCUAACUACGUGCCAGCAGCCGCGGUAAUACGUAGGGCGCAAGCGUUGUCCGGAAUUAUUGGGCGUAAAGAGCUCGUAGGCGGCUUGUCACGUCGGUUGUGAAAGCCCGGGGCUUAACCCCGGGUCUGCAGUCGAUACGGGCAGGCUAGAGUUCGGUAGGGGAGAUCGGAAUUCCUGGUGUAGCGGUGAAAUGCGCAGAUAUCAGGAGGAACACCGGUGGCGAAGGCGGAUCUCUGGGCCGAUACUGACGCUGAGGAGCGAAAGCGUGGGGAGCGAACAGGAUUAGAUACCCUGGUAGUCCACGCCGUAAACGGUGGGCACUAGGUGUGGGCAACAUUCCACGUUGUCCGUGCCGCAGCUAACGCAUUAAGUGCCCCGCCU
Molecule: ribosomal RNA, 621 nt
Filed under: Streptomyces aurantiogriseus
Lineage: Bacteria; Bacillati; Actinomycetota; Actinomycetes; Kitasatosporales; Streptomycetaceae
Description: bacterial SSU rRNA
Rfam family: Bacterial small subunit ribosomal RNA
Source: RNAcentral